AAUGAACGCUGGCGGCAUGCCUAACACAUGCAAGUCGAACGAAGCCUUCGGGCUUAGUGGCGCACGGGUGCGUAACGCGUGGGAAUCUGCCCUUGGGUUCGGAAUAACAGUUGGAAACGACUGCUAAUACCGGAUGAUGACGUAAGUCCAAAGAUUUAUCGCCCAAGGAUGAGCCCGCGUAGGAUUAGCUAGUUGGUGCGGUAAGAGCGCACCAAGGCGACGAUCCUUAGCUGGUCUGAGAGGAUGAUCAGCCACACUGGGACUGAGACACGGCCCAGACUCCUACGGGAGGCAGCAGUGGGGAAUAUUGGACAAUGGGCGAAAGCCUGAUCCAGCAAUGCCGCGUGAGUGAUGAAGGCCUUAGGGUUGUAAAGCUCUUUUACCCGGGAUGAUAAUGACAGUACCGGGA
This 409-nucleotide ribosomal RNA is filed under the name alpha proteobacterium 0-11. RNAcentral's name for it is "bacterial SSU rRNA". It matches the Rfam family "Bacterial small subunit ribosomal RNA", at positions 29 to 483 of the family's 1533-position model. Lineage: Bacteria; Pseudomonadati; Pseudomonadota; Alphaproteobacteria. The record is from RNAcentral.